RNAcentral lists this ribosomal RNA (730 nucleotides) under uncultured Eubacteriales bacterium. RNAcentral's name for it is "bacterial SSU rRNA". It matches the Rfam family "Bacterial small subunit ribosomal RNA", at positions 63 to 803 of the family's 1533-position model. Lineage: Bacteria; Bacillati; Bacillota; Clostridia; Eubacteriales. The record is from RNAcentral.
CGAACGGGAAGACAUGAAGAGCUUGCUCUUUAUGAAAUCCAGUGGCAAACGGGUGAGUAACGCGUGAGCAACCUGCCUAUGACAGUGGGAUAGCCUCGGGAAACCGGGAUUAAUACCGCAUAAAAUCGUAGAAACACAUGUUUCAACGGUCAAAGAUUUAUCGGUCAUAGAUGGGCUCGCGUCUGAUUAGCUAGUUGGUGAGAUAACAGCCCACCAAGGCGACGAUCAGUAGCCGGUCUGAGAGGAUGAACGGCCACAUUGGAACUGAGACACGGUCCAAACUCCUACGGGAGGCAGCAGUGGGGAAUAUUGCACAAUGGGGGAAACCCUGAUGCAGCGACGCCGCGUGAACGAAGAAGGUAUUCGUAUCGUAAAGUUCUGUCCUAUGGGAAGAUAAUGACAGUACCAUAGAAGAAAGCUCCGGCUAAAUACGUGCCAGCAGCCGCGGUAAUACGUAUGGAGCGAGCGUUGUCCGGAAUUAUUGGGCGUAAAGGGUACGCAGGCGGUUUAAUAAGUCGAAUGUUAAAGAUCGGGGCUCAACCCCGUAAAGCAUUGGAAACUGAUAAACUUGAGUAGUGGAGAGGAAAGUGGAAUUCCUAGUGUAGUGGUGAAAUACGUAGAUAUUAGGAGGAAUACCAGUAGCGAAGGCGACUUUCUGGACACAAACUGACGCUGAGGUACGAAAGCGUGGGGAGCAAACAGGAUUAGAUAGCCUGGUAGUCCACGCCGU